This 926-nucleotide ribosomal RNA is filed under the name human gut metagenome. Its description in RNAcentral is "bacterial LSU rRNA". It matches the Rfam family "Bacterial large subunit ribosomal RNA", at positions 1999 to 2925 of the family's 2925-position model. The record is from RNAcentral.
GCGUAACGAUCUCCACACUGUCUCGGCCAGAGACUCGGUGAAAUUGCAGUCGCGGUGAAAAUUCCGUGUACCCGCAGAAAGACGGAAAGACCCUGUGCACCUUUACUAUAGCUUGACAUUGGAUUUUGGGCCUGCAUGUGUAGGAUAGGUGGGAGGCUGCGAACCCUGUACGCCAGUAUGGGGGGAGCCAUCCUUGAAAUACCACCCUUGCAUGUUUAAGAUCCUAACUUCUUCCGGUUAUCCCGGAGAAAGACAGUGUCUGGCGGGUAGUUUGACUGGGGCGGUCGCCUCCUAAAGUGUAACGGAGGCAUGCAAAGGUUCCCUCAGCCUGAUCGGAAACCAGGCGCUGAGUGCAAACGCAUAAGGGAGCUUGACUGUAAGAGAGACAUCUCGAACAGGAACGAAAGUUGGCGUUAGUGAUCCGGUGGUCCCGAAUGGAAGGGCCAUCGCUCAUUGGAUAAAAGGUACGCCGGGGAUAACAGGCUGAUCGCAUCCAAGAGUUCACAUCGACGAUGCGGUUUGGCACCUCGAUGUCGGCUCAUCACAUCCUGGGGCUGAAGCAGGUCCCAAGGGUACGGCUGUUCGCCGUUUAAAGUGGUACGCGAGCUGGGUUUAAAACGUCGUGAGACAGUUUGGUCCCUAUCUUCUGUGGGCGAAGGAGAAUUGAGAGGGCCUGUCCCUAGUACGAGAGGACCGGGAUGGACGCACCCCUGGUGAUCCUGUUGUCGCGCCAGCGGCAUAGCAGGGUAGCUAUGUGCGGAAGGGAUAACCGCUGAAAGCAUCUAAGCGGGAAGCCUGCCUCAAGAUAAGUUCUCCCCUCGAAAGAGCUGAAGGGCCCGGGUAGACUACCCGGUCGAUAGGCUGGAGGUGUAAGCGCGGCGACGUGCUCAGCUGACCAGUACUAAUAGCCCGAGCGGCUUAUUUUU